RNAcentral lists this small nuclear RNA (329 nucleotides) under Chinchilla lanigera (long-tailed chinchilla). RNAcentral describes it as "7SK RNA (ENSCLAG00000020819.1)". It matches the Rfam family "7SK RNA". From Rfam's summary of the family: 7SK was discovered as an abundant small nuclear RNA in the mid-70s but a possible function has only recently been suggested. Lineage: Eukaryota; Metazoa; Chordata; Mammalia; Rodentia; Chinchillidae. The record is from Rfam by way of RNAcentral.
AAAUGUGAGAGAAAUGUGGCUGUGACAUCUGUCUCCGUAUUGGUUACCAGAACUGGUUCAUCUGAUCUGGUUGCCUAGGCUAGGUGUCUACUUCUGCUCCCCUAGAUCCAUACACAUCCUGCCAAAAUCUCCACACUCAGUACAAGAAGAUGAAAGUUUCUUGAUGAUGACGGUUCUGUCAUUUAGGGAAUAAAAAUAGCUCCACAACCUGUGCCUCAACCUCCAAACAAAAUGCAGUUAUUGUAACUCUUUAGUAAAGUAAUUGUUUAGUAAGCAUAAAAUAGCUCUUUUUCAUUUCAACAAUUUCUUAUGAAGAACUCUAUGCUGUU